UUCGAUCUCGCAACGACACAAACGCGUGUCGCCCUCUGCAUGCCUUCGCCGAUUCUCUUACUAGAAUAACCAACGCGAUUCUGUCGUUAGCCGCGGCGAGGC
Molecule: regulatory RNA element, 102 nt
Organism: Pseudomonas sp. HPB0071
Lineage: Bacteria; Pseudomonadati; Pseudomonadota; Gammaproteobacteria; Pseudomonadales; Pseudomonadaceae
Rfam family: Pseudomon-Rho RNA
Source: Rfam